Long non-coding RNA from Corapipo altera (White-ruffed manakin), 1374 nucleotides. RefSeq lists it as uncharacterized. The transcript has 4 exons. NCBI's taxonomy places the organism in Eukaryota, Metazoa, Chordata, Aves, Passeriformes, Pipridae. The record is from RefSeq and is a predicted model, not a curated record.
UAUCUUUUUCCCCCCUGCAGUUCUAGAAUGAUGGUGGUACUACACACUUAACUCAGAAGGCAGUCUUUGGAGAAGUUAGACAUUUGUGAGGAGCAACAUAGAAAGAUAAUCCUAGAAAACACUGCCUAACCUGGAACAAAAAGAACAAAACGUCACACAGCAAAUGUGAUUUCAAGAAUGUGAUUUCAAGAAAUGAACAUAUUUGGAUUGUGUGUACUCAGACACACAACUGCAAGUGGAUGAUUUCUGAUGGCAUUGCGAAGGAAGUUUUGAUAGGAUGUGAUACUGCAACAAGCUUGGAGAUUGGUCCAGGCAGAAUGACGUAGCUGAAAAGAAGAAAAGAAGCUUUAAAGGGAUUGGAAUAAUGAAAUGGUGCAGAGAGAAAGGAAUAAAGGAGAACAAAUAUAGAUGGGAUGGAGGCUGUGCUACGCUGAAGCAAGGUCAAAAGGAGAAGCAAGAGGAUUUGAGUGGAGAAGUCACACUGGGAGUGAAAGAAUGGAUUUUUGCAGUGGUAUUUGGGGAAGUUUGCAUUUCCUAUCUCAUUCCAUUCCAAAGUCCAGAGAUGAGAGAGAUUCAGAACUCUUUAAGCUGACAGAAAAUUAGAAGAAAUAGAGAAUAUAUAGCUGUAUCUUUUAAUCACAAUCCUGUCCUUUGUAGGGCAAGCUAAACCUAGCAAUCCUACAGAAAACUUUUGUUUGUACUCAUCAGCACAGCAAACAUAGCUGGUGACCUCCUUUUCCCCCGUGCCUGUGAAAUCCAACUUUGAAAACUGCAUACCAUUGGACUUUGAUGUCAUGUGACCUUGCAUUCAGACUACAUUUUGGUGGGCUUAAACAUGGGAAUGCCACAAAAGCUGCUGUCAUCACAGAAUGUUACUGUGCAGUGGAAAGUUGUGAGGAGAAGACAGGAGACUGGUGGAGGUGGCAAGAAGACCUUCACAGCUGUUAUCUCCUUAGGGCCUGAGGCUGGAGGCAGAUUAGACUUUUGCUAGAAAGAGGAGAACACCAGAUCAGGUAGAAGAGCAUAAGCGAGGUGGCCAUGGCUUGUGAAGAGGAGACAGCGAUGAGCAAUUAGAAGAGGUUGGUCUGGAAAAAUCUCAUAUGUGGAACAGUUUCUAUUUGGGCUUUUAGACCACUGAACAGUGUCCAAGUAACUUCACAUUUGAAUCACUGAAAAUGAUCAGAGGGCUGGAACACCUUUCCUUUGAGUAAAGGCUGAGAGCAUUGGGAUUGGUCAGCCUGGAGAAGGCUGACCUAAUUUCAGAUAUGCAAGGGUGACCUUAUUGCAGCUUUUCAGUACCUGAACAGUGCCUCAAGAAAGCUGGAGAGGAAGUGUUUACGAGGGCAUGUAGUGAUAGGACAAGGGGGAACGGGU